This 301-nucleotide ribosomal RNA is filed under the name uncultured bacterium. RNAcentral's name for it is "partial 16S ribosomal RNA". It matches the Rfam family "Bacterial small subunit ribosomal RNA", at positions 509 to 807 of the family's 1533-position model. The record is from RNAcentral.
CAGCAGCCACGGGAAUACGAAGGGGGCUAGCGUUGCUCGGAAUUACUGGGCGUAAAGGGCGCGUAGGCGGAUGAUUAAGUCGAGGGCGAAAGCCCGGGGCUCAACCUCGGAACUGCCUUUGAUACUGGUCAUCUUGAGUACGGGAGAGGUGUGUGGAACUCCGAGUGUAGAGGUGAAAUUCGUAGAUAUUCGGAAGAACACCAGUGGCGAAGGCGACACACUGGCCCGUUACUGACGCUGAGGCGCGAAAGCGUGGGGAGCAAACAGGAUUAGAUACCCGGGUAGUCCCUGUCUCUUAUAC